This 725-nucleotide ribosomal RNA is filed under the name Saccharothrix sp. HM2. Its description in RNAcentral is "bacterial SSU rRNA". It matches the Rfam family "Bacterial small subunit ribosomal RNA", at positions 155 to 894 of the family's 1533-position model. The record is from RNAcentral. Lineage: Bacteria; Bacillati; Actinomycetota; Actinomycetes; Pseudonocardiales; Pseudonocardiaceae.
AACGAGGUCUAAUACCGGAUACGACACUGGAUCGCAUGAUCUGGUGUGGAAAGUUCCGGCGGUAUGGGAUGGACCCGCGGCCUAUCAGCUUGUUGGUGGGGUAAUGGCCUACCAAGGCGACGACGGGUAGCCGGCCUGAGAGGGUGACCGGCCACACUGGGACUGAGACACGGCCCAGACUCCUACGGGAGGCAGCAGUGGGGAAUAUUGCACAAUGGGCGAAAGCCUGAUGCAGCGACGCCGCGUGAGGGAUGACGGCCUUCGGGUUGUAAACCUCUUUCAGCAGGGACGAAGCGCAAGUGACGGUACCUGCAGAAGAAGCACCGGCUAACUACGUGCCAGCAGCCGCGGUAAUACGUAGGGUGCGAGCGUUGUCCGGAAUUAUUGGGCGUAAAGAGCUCGUAGGCGGUUUGUCGCGUCGGCCGUGAAAACUUGGGGCUUAACUCCAAGCUUGCGGUCGAUACGGGCAGACUUGAGUUCGGCAGGGGAGACUGGAAUUCCUGGUGUAGCGGUGAAAUGCGCAGAUAUCAGGAGGAACACCGGUGGCGAAGGCGGGUCUCUGGGCCGAUACUGACGCUGAGGAGCGAAAGCGUGGGGAGCGAACAGGAUUAGAUACCCUGGUAGUCCACGCCGUAAACGGUGGGUGCUAGGUGUGGGGGGCUUCCACGCCCUCUGUGCCGCAGCUAACGCAUUAAGCACCCCGCCUGGGGAGUACGGCCGCAGGC